RNAcentral lists this ribosomal RNA (468 nucleotides) under uncultured bacterium. RNAcentral describes it as "partial 16S ribosomal RNA". It matches the Rfam family "Bacterial small subunit ribosomal RNA", at positions 28 to 507 of the family's 1533-position model. The record is from RNAcentral.
GACGAACGCUGGCGGCGUGCUUAACACAUGCAAGUCGAACGGAAAGGCCCUGCUUUUGUGGGGUGCUCGAGUGGCGAACGGGUGAGUAACACGUGAGUAACCUGCCCUUGUCUUUGGGAUAACUUCAGGAAACUGGGGCUAAUACCGGAUAGGAGCUCCUGCUGCAUGGUGGGGGUUGGAAAGUUUCGGCGGUUGGGGAUGGACUCGCGGCUUAUCAGCUUGUUGGUGGGGUAGUGGCUUACCAAGGCUUUGACGGGUAGCCGGCCUGAGAGGGUGACCGGCCACAUUGGGACUGAGAUAGGGACCAGACUCCUACGGGAGGCAGCAGUGGGGAAUAUUACACAGUGGGCGGAAGCCUGAUGCAGCAACGCCGCGUGCGGGAUGACGGCCUUCGGGUUGUAAACCGCUUUCGCCUGUGACGAAGCGUGAGUGACGGUAAUGGGUAAAGAAGCACCGGCUAACUACGUG